This 2103-nucleotide unclassified non-coding RNA is filed under the name Monomorium pharaonis (pharaoh ant). Its description in RNAcentral is "solute carrier family 23 member 1, transcript variant X2". Lineage: Eukaryota; Metazoa; Arthropoda; Insecta; Hymenoptera; Formicidae. The record is from RNAcentral.
AAGAAUAAAAGAUAAAAUCCGCGCGUCUCGCAUUAGUAAUCCGAAAUGUAAUCCUUUUCGCCUUGCUAUCUCCACAUAGUCGUAUCUCAAGACUUUCCCCUCAUUCCGAAGGUGAAUUCAAUUCAUCUCGUUAAACGGUCACAAUUGCAUUAUUCAUUAUCGGUGUCUCGUCAAGCUUUGCUGCAGACGGAGGGGAUAGUAUGUGCCACGGAGAACAAGCGUUGCUUUACAGCAAACCAUUUAGGGAUUUAUUACAGACAGAUAGCAGAUAGUAUCGCAGCAGAACAAUAUAUUUAAGAGGAAAUCAAGCGUGAUUUUAGACGAACAGUCUAAUAUACUUGAACGAAGACUUUACACGUGCAACAAAUUUUCGAAAUUUUCUAGGUCGAGGUUGUGCCGUGUUUCUUGCAAAAAUGCCAGAAAAUGAGAUACCGAUAUCCGAAUUGAAAAAUUUAACAGCCAUUCCGAUGGCGGAGGAAACAACAAAUGAUAGAAAUAGAAAUUCUGAGCUUACUUACGGCAUCGAUGAUGCUCCGCCGUGGUAUCUGUGUUUAUUCAUGGCAUUACAGCAUUACUUAACUAUGAUUGGUGCCAUUGUUUCCAUUCCAUUCAUUCUAACACCAGCAUUAUGUAUGGCCGAAGAUGAUCCCGCGAGGAGUCACAUUAUUUCUACGAUGAUUUUUGUCACUGGUUUAGUAACGUUCAUUCAAACUACCAUAGGAUGUAGAUUGCCAUUGGUGCAGGGCGGUACCAUAUCAUUCUUGGUACCAACUCUGGCGAUACUGAAUCUGCCGCAAUGGCAAUGUCCCGCACCGGAAGUUCUUGAGCAAAUGUCCCACGAAAACCGAACCGAGCUCUGGCAAAUUCGAAUGAGAGAACUGUCGGGUGCCAUCACUGUUUCUGCCUUAUUUCAAGUGAUCAUCGGGUUUGGAGGUAUCGUGGGAUAUUUGUUGAAAUUUAUAACUCCCCUAACAAUCGUGCCGACAGUUUCACUAGUUGGGCUAUCGCUCUUUGAAAACGCUGCGGAUGCAGCAUCUCAGCACUGGGGUAUCGCAGUUGGAACGGUAAUACUAUUAACGACAUGCUCUCAAGUAAUGGUCAACGUUCCAUUUCCGUUCAUAACAUAUCGCAAAGGUCAAGGAUUCCAAAUUAUCUGGUUCGAAUUGUUCAAACUUUUUCCGGUUUUGCUGACGAUAAUCGUCAUGUGGAUAAUCUGCACUAUACUAACGAUAACCGACACGCUACCGUUCGGUCAUCCCGCCAGGGCGGACACCAAAUUGAAAAUUAUAAACGAUUCACCCUGGUUUCGGGUACCGUAUCCCGGACAGUGGGGCGUACCUACGGUAACAUUGUCAGGCGUCCUCGGUAUGCUAGCGGGAGUAAUGGCGUGCACGGUCGAGUCCAUCAGUUACUAUCCAACCACCGCGAGAAUGUGUGGAGCACCGCCGCCACCGGUCCACGCGAUCAAUCGUGGUAUCGGCAUAGAGGGUCUGGGUACGAUGCUGGCUGGACUUUGGGGUAGCGGCAAUGGCACAAACACGUUCGGCGAGAAUGUCGGCACGAUAGGGGUCACCAAGAUCGGUAGCCGCAGAGUCAUACAGUGGGCCUGCUUUUUGAUGAUCCUGCAAGGCGUGAUCAGCAAAUUCGGUGCGGUAUUCAUCAUAAUUCCCGAGCCGAUAGUCGGCGGAAUAUUCUGCGUGAUGUUCGGCAUGAUUUGUGCUUUCGGCUUGGCGGUUUUGCAAUAUGUAAAUCUUAAUUCCGCAAGGAACUUGUUCAUCCUAGGCUUGUCCAUGUUCUUCCCUCUGGUGAUCUAUUUCAGGUCCUGUCGAAGUGGCUGAUCAAACAUCCGGAUACGAUACACACGGGAAACACUGUGGCGGAUAGCGUAUUUACUGUACUGCUCAGUACUACUAUUCUAGUAGGUGGUGUGUUGGGCUGUUUUCUGGAUAAUAUCAUCCCAGGAAAUGCAAAGGAUCGUGGAUUGGAGGCUUGGGCGAAAGAAAUGGAACUAAACGGUGGCGCGGCUGAAAAACAAACUGACGAAGCUUCCGGUACUGCAGAGUACGUCCGAAAUACUUUUGAUUUCCCGUUCGGGAUGAAUCU